This 604-nucleotide ribosomal RNA is filed under the name uncultured organism. RNAcentral's name for it is "bacterial SSU rRNA". It matches the Rfam family "Bacterial small subunit ribosomal RNA", at positions 335 to 930 of the family's 1533-position model. The record is from RNAcentral.
ACUCCUACGGGAGGCAGCAGUGGGGAAUUUUGGACAAUGGGCGCAAGCCUGAUCCAGCCAUGCCGCGUGCGGGAAGAAGGCCUUCGGGUUGUAAACCGCUUUUGUCAGGGAAGAAACGGUCUGAGCUAAUACUUUGGACUAAUGACGGUACCUGAAGAAGAAGCACCGGCUAACUACGUGCCAGCAGCCGCGGUAAUACGUAGGGUGCGAGCGUUAAUCGGAAUUACUGGGCGUAAAGCGUGCGCAGGCGGUUGUGUAAGACAGGUGUGAAAUCCCCGGGCUUAACCUGGGAACUGCGCUUGUGACUGCACAGCUAGAGUAUGGCAGAGGGGGGUGGAAUUCCACGUGUAGCAGUGAAAUGCGUAGAGAUGUGGAGGAACACCGAUGGCGAAGGCAGCCCCCUGGGCCAAUACUGACGCUCAUGCACGAAAGCGUGGGGAGCAAACAGGAUUAGAUACCCUGGUAGUCCACGCCCUAAACGAUGUCGACUAGGUGUUCGGUGAGGAGACUCAUUGAGUACCGCAGCUAACGCGUGAAGUCGACCGCCUGGGGAGUACGGUCGCAAGAUUAAAACUCAAAGGAAUUGACGGGGACCCGCACAAGC